UUGCUCUUCAACGAGGAAUUCCUAGUAAGCACAAGUCAUCAGCUUGUGCUGAUUACGUCCCUGCCCUUUGUACACACCGCCCGUCGCUACUACCGAUUGAAUGGCUCAGUGAGGCGUCCGGACUGGCCCAGAGAGGUGGGCAACUACCACUCAGGGCCGGAAAGCUCUCCAAACUCGGUCAUUUAGAGGAAGUAAAAGUCGUAACAAGGUCUCCGUUGGUGAACCAGCGGAGGGAUCAUUACUGAGUGUAAAAACUCCCAAACCCAUUGUGAACAUACCUCUGUUGCUUCGGCGGAUGCGCCCCGGGCGCGCCCUCACAGGCGUGCCCCGGACCAAGGCGCCCGCCGGGGAACCGAAACUCUUGUUUUCUUAGAGAAUCUCUGAGUGUGAUUAUAAAUCAAAUCAAAACUUUCAACAACGGAUCUCUUGGCUCUAGCAUCGAUGAAGAACGCAGCGAAAUGCGAUAAGUAAUGCGAAUUGCAGAAUUCAGUGAAUCAUCGAAUCUUUGAACGCACAUUGCGCCCGCCAGUACUCUGGCGGGCAUGCCUGUCUGAGCGUCAUUUCAACCCUCGCCCCCGGCUUCUGUCGGGGACGGUGUUGGGGAUCGGCCUCCCGUCUUCCGGGUGGCCGGCCCCUAAAUUGAGUGGCGACCACGCCGUAACCUCCUCUGCGUAGUAGUUAAACACUCGCGGGCGGAGAGCGGUGCGGCCUGCCGUAAAACCCCCAACUCUUCUAAGGUUGACCUCAGAUCAGGUAGGAAUACCCGCUGAACUUAAGCAUAUCAAUAAGCGGAGGA
This 796-nucleotide ribosomal RNA is filed under the name uncultured fungus. RNAcentral's name for it is "eukaryotic LSU rRNA". The stretch from base 1 to 241 matches the Rfam family "Eukaryotic small subunit ribosomal RNA", at positions 1593 to 1831 of the family's 1831-position model. The record is from RNAcentral. Lineage: Eukaryota; Fungi.